GAUUCUGGCUCAGGAUGAACGCUGGCGGCAUGCCUAAUACAUGCAAGUCGAACGGAGUGAAGCCUUCGGGUUUCAUUCAGUGGCGAACGGGUGAGUAAUACGCAGGGAACCUGGCCAUGGCAGGGGGAUACACUCUGGAAACGGAGCAUAAGACCCCAUAGGCAGUAAGGCGGCAUCGCCUUACUGUUAAAGAAAGCUGAAAGGCUUUGGCGAUGGAUGGACCUGCGGUGCAUUAGCUUGUUGGUGAGGCAACGGCUUACCAAGGCGAUGAUGCAUAGCCGGCCUGAGAGGGCGGACGGCCACACUGGGACUGAGACACGGCCCAGACUCCUGCGGGAGGCAGCAGUAGGGAAUUUUCGUCAAUGGGCGCAAGCCUGAACGAGCAAUGCCGCGUGAGUGAGGAAGGUCUUCGGACUGUAAAGCUCUGUUGCCGGGGAAAAAGGGGAAAUGCAGGAAAUGGCAUUUCAUGGAUGGUACCCGGCCAGAAAGCCACGGCUAACUACGUGCCAGCAGCCGCGGUAAUACGUAGGUGGCGAGCGUUAUCCGGAAUGAUUGGGCGUAAAGGGUGCGCAGGCGGUCUGUUAAGUCUGAAGGCAAAGGGAUGAGCUCAACUCAUUUAUGAUUCAGAAACUGGCAGACUUGAGGACAGGAGAGGGCGGUGGAACUCCAUGUGUAGCGGUAAAAUGCGCAGAGAUAUGGAAGAACACCAGUGGCGAAGGCGGCCGCCUGGCCUGUGACUGACGCUGAGGCACGAAAGCGUGGGGAGCAAAUAGGAUUAGAUACCCUAGUAGUCCACGCCGUAAACGAUGAGGAGCAGGUGUUGGGAGUGAAAUCUCAGUGCCGAAGCCAACGCAGUGACUCCUCCGCCUGGGGAGUAUGCACGCAAGUGUGAAACUCAAAGGAAUUGACGGGGGCCCGCACAAGCGGUGGAGUAUGUGGUUUAAUUCGAAGCAACGCGAAGAACCUUACCAGGUUUUGACAUCGGAUGCGAAGGCGCAGAGAUGCGCUGGAGGCUAUCAUCCAGACAGGUGGUGCAUGGUUGUCGUCAGCUCGUGUCGUGAGAUGUUCAGUUAAGUCUGGCAACGAGCGCAACCCCCGUGGUAUGUUACUAACGCAUUUGGGCGAGGACUCAUAUCAGACUGCCGGUGACAAACCGGAGGAAGGCGGGGAUGACGUCAAAUCAUCAUGCCCCUUAUGACCUGGGCUACACACGUACUACAAUGGCGUCUACAGAGGGAAGCGACCCUGAGAAGGGAAGCGAAACCGGAAAAGGGCGUCCCAGUUCGGAUUGAAGUCUGCAACCCGACUUCAUGAAGAUGGAAUCGCUAGUAAUCGCGGAUCAGCAUGCCGCGGUGAAUACGUUCCCGGGCCUUGUACACACCGCCCGUCAAACCAUGGAAGCCGGCAACGCCCGAAGCCGGUGGCAUAACCUUUUAGGAGUGAGCCGUCGAAGGCGGGGCCGAUGACUGGGGUUAAGUCGUAACAAGGUACCC
This 1493-nucleotide ribosomal RNA is filed under the name uncultured bacterium. RNAcentral describes it as "16S ribosomal RNA". It matches the Rfam family "Bacterial small subunit ribosomal RNA". The record is from RNAcentral.